AUAUUUAUUUAUUAAAUCUACAAACAACAAUAGAUCUGUAAGAAGAGAAAGAAAUUCUUACUAAUUAUGUUACUAAGUAUUCUUAACUGGUAUUUAGAAUAAAGAAAAAAUUGUCUCCCAUUAUGCUAUAUCUCUUAUGAUAAUUGUAUGCAAUAUAAUGGAGUGUUUUUCUGUUUUAAAGGUACUUUUUUGUCAUCUCUUAACAAUCAUGAUGAUCUUUUCUCCCCUAAUUAAAUUUUGGCUAUAAACAGAGAGAGGCACCUUAAUAAAUAGGAUUGAUGUAAAUGUGCCCAAACAAAUCUGGUCUAGUGACUGAUUAGAGUGUCCAAAUCAGUCAUACUCUCAGAUUCUGGUAAAGACUUAACUGUUACUUUAUCACAGACUCAACACCCAGGAUUUUACUAUCAACAAGCAGCAAACAAUGCCAUUGUCAGGAGACAGCUUUGCCAGGGCUUGUGUCAUACUACCACUCCAAUUACUAUGAAUCCCUUAGAAAAUGCUGGAAAUCUCGACUUCUAUGGUCAGAGACCUUGGAGACAAGGUUUUCAAGGAACAGAACCACCAGAUGCAGGAAUAGAGAAGGCUGGAAUUAUAGCCUUGCAGUCCCAAGAAAUCCAAGUGGACCAUUCUGUAAGUGCACUGUAUUGUUUGGCAGACUUUCAUUUCAAGAAAAUUAAGAUCAGAUAAAUGUCAGGGAGAAAUCAUGGUGACAAAUUAAGUUUAAAUGCAAGGUUAAUAUGACUGUAAAUUUUUGGUUGCGCACAAUUGCAUCAAUGAGCUUUCUAGCCAAACCAAAGCAAUUAUGAAUUUGAAAUCCCAAUUGCCAGUAUUACAUAAUACCUUGUUAGCAAAUACUCUGACCAUCAAUCUCUUUAUUUAUGUUAACCUACUUUGUAUAUUUGGUUGAGGUACUUAGAAUAUUGGCUCCUU
Long non-coding RNA from Pocillopora damicornis (cauliflower coral), 930 nucleotides. Lineage: Eukaryota; Metazoa; Cnidaria; Anthozoa; Scleractinia; Pocilloporidae. The record is from RefSeq and is a predicted model, not a curated record.